UUACGGUCACAUCUUGCUAAAAGCACCGGUUCUCGUUCGAUCUCAGAAGUUAAGCAAUGUCGAAACAGGUCAGUACUUAGAUGGGAG
Molecule: non-coding RNA, 87 nt
Organism: Acanthosepion pharaonis
Lineage: Eukaryota; Metazoa; Mollusca; Cephalopoda; Sepiida; Sepiidae
Source: the annotation of a GenBank genome assembly